RNAcentral lists this ribosomal RNA (406 nucleotides) under uncultured bacterium. RNAcentral's name for it is "partial 16S ribosomal RNA". It matches the Rfam family "Bacterial small subunit ribosomal RNA", at positions 30 to 526 of the family's 1533-position model. The record is from RNAcentral.
AUUGCACGCUGGCGGCAGGCCUAAAACAUGCAAGUCGAACGAGUGGCGGACGGGUGAGUAAUGUAUGGGAAACUGCCAGAUGGAGGGGGAUAACUACUGGAAACGGUCGCUACUACCGAAUACCCUAGGAUGUGCCCAGAUGGGAUUAGCUAGUAGGUGUGGUAACGGCUCACCUAGGCGACGAUCACUAGCUGGUCUGCGAGGAUGAACAGCAACACGGGAACUGAGACACGGUCCAGACGCCUACGGGAGGCAGCAGUGGGGAAUAUUGAACAAUGGGCGCAAGCCUGAUGCAGGCAUGCCGCGUGUAUGAAGAAGGCCUUCGGGUUGGAAAGUACUUUCAGCGGGGAGGCGUUACCCGCAGAAGAAGCACCGGCUAACUCCGUGCUAGCAGCCGCGGUAAUAC